GGGGAGGUAGCUCAGUGGAAGAGCUCUUGUUUUGUAUGCACAAGGUCUAGGUUCAAUCCCCAGCAUCACCA
Molecule: transfer RNA, 71 nt
Filed under: Cavia porcellus (domestic guinea pig)
Lineage: Eukaryota; Metazoa; Chordata; Mammalia; Rodentia; Caviidae
Rfam family: tRNA
About the family: Transfer RNA (tRNA) molecules are approximately 80 nucleotides in length.
Source: Rfam by way of RNAcentral